RNAcentral lists this ribosomal RNA (301 nucleotides) under uncultured bacterium. RNAcentral's name for it is "partial 16S ribosomal RNA". It matches the Rfam family "Bacterial small subunit ribosomal RNA", at positions 509 to 808 of the family's 1533-position model. The record is from RNAcentral.
CAGUCGCGCGGUAAUACGUAGGUGGCAAGCGUUGUCCGGAAUUAUUGGGCGUAAAGGGCUCGCAGGCGGUUUCUUAAGUCUGAUGUGAAAGCCCCCGGCUCAACCGGGGAGGGUCAUUGGAAACUGGGAAACUUGAGUGCAGAAGAGGAGAGUGGAAUUCCACGUGUAGCGGUGAAAUGCGUAGAGAUGUGGAGGAACACCAGCGGCGAAGGCGACUCUCUGGUCUGUAACUGACGCUGAGGAGCGAAAGCGUGGGGAGCGAACAGGAUUAGAUACCCCGGUAGUCCCUGUCUCUUAUACA